UGGGGAAUAUUGCACAAUGGGCGCAAGCCUGAUGCAGCCAUGCCGCGUGUAUGAAGACGGCCUUCGGGUUGUAAAGUACUUUCAGCGGGGAGGAAGGGAGUAAAGUUAAUACCUUUGCUCAUUGACGUUACCCGCAGAAGAAGCACCGGCUAACUCCGUGCCAGCAGCCGCGGUAAUACGGAGGGUGCAAGCGUUAAUCGGAAUUACUGGGCGUAAAGCGCACGCAGGCGGUUUGUUAAGUCAGAUGUGAAAUCCUCGGGCUCAACUUGGGAACUGCAUCUGAUACUGGCAAGCUUGAGUCUCGGAGAGGGGGGUAGAAUUCCAGGUGUAGCGGUGAAAUGCGUAGAGAUCUGGAGGAAUACCGGUGGCGAAGGCGGCCCCCUGGACGAAGACUGACGCUCAGGUGCGAAAGCGUGGGGAGCAAACAGG
Molecule: ribosomal RNA, 429 nt
Filed under: Chloroflexota bacterium
Lineage: Bacteria; Bacillati; Chloroflexota
Description: Chloroflexi bacterium partial 16S ribosomal RNA
Rfam family: Bacterial small subunit ribosomal RNA
Source: RNAcentral